RNAcentral lists this ribosomal RNA (419 nucleotides) under uncultured bacterium. RNAcentral's name for it is "bacterial SSU rRNA". It matches the Rfam family "Bacterial small subunit ribosomal RNA", at positions 92 to 507 of the family's 1533-position model. The record is from RNAcentral.
CGAGUGGCGAACGGGUGAGUAAUAUAUCGGAACGUGCCCAGUCGUGGGGGAUAACGUAGCGAAAGCUACGCUAAUACCGCAUACGAUCUAUGGAUGAAAGCGGGGGAUCGCAAGACCUCGCGCGAUUGGAGCGGCCGAUAUCAGAUUAGCUAGUUGGUGAGGUAACGGCUCACCAAGGCUACGAUCGGUAGCUGGUCUGAGAGGAUGAUCAGCCACAUUGGGACUGAGACACGGCCCAAACUCCUACGGGAGGCAGCAGUGGGGAAUAUUGGACAAUGGGGGCAACCCUGAUCCAGCAAUGCCGCGUGCAGGAUGAAGGCCUUCGGGUUGUAAACUGCUUUUGUACGGAACGAAACGGUGAGCUCUAAUACAGUUUGCUAAUGACGGUACCGUAAGAAUAAGCACCGGCUAACUCCGUG